Melanotaenia boesemani (Boeseman's rainbowfish) is the source of this 530-nucleotide long non-coding RNA. RefSeq lists it as uncharacterized. The record is from RefSeq and is a predicted model, not a curated record. NCBI's taxonomy places the organism in Eukaryota, Metazoa, Chordata, Actinopteri, Atheriniformes, Melanotaeniidae. The transcript is spliced from 2 exons.
GAGCCUCGGAUCAUCGAGAUAAGGCGUCGUAGUUAAGUACGGAAAGGAAUUGGCCAGGUGUUAAUUUGAUGGCGAGCUACGGAGAGGCCUAAAGCCUAAGCAGAACAAUAUCAUUCAACUCAACGCAUCGGAUUCGGGUUAUCCAAUCUGGAUCCGGAGGAGAUCACCUGCUCUGUCCGGGCCGGUAGGAGGCUCCUUGCAGCCGACCAAAACUCUUUGCCCAGUUUUCCCCUGCGGCUUCCAUAUAGCCAUUCACACCCGUCACCUUGCUUCUAACACAUUCACCAACUCAAACCCCCGGAUUCAACUGAUCGUGCCAUACUGGACUUGGGGUCGUUUGGGGAAUUGGAAAGUGAUAUGGGAUUUGUGAAUCACUGAAUUUGAACUUUAUUGCAUGUUGGAACCAGAUAUUUUCAUGUACAUAUUUAUUACUGAAUGGUCAUUCAGGUUUACAUUCACUACUUUUCUAUUUUUUUAUAAAUGUUGGUGUUUUGUCUGUCUUGCUAAUAUAUGGUACCAUCAAAACCUAA